GAUGAACGCUGGCGGCGUGCCUAAUACAUGCAAGUCGAGCGAACAGACGAGGAGCUUGCUCCUCUGACGUUAGCGGCGGACGGGUGAGUAACACGUGGAUAACCUACCUAUAAGACUGGGAUAACUUCGGGAAACCGGAGCUAAUACCGGAUAAUAUAUUGAACCGCAUGGUUCAAUAGUGAAAGACGGUUUUGCUGUCACUUAUAGAUGGAUCCGCGCCGCAUUAGCUAGUUGGUAAGGUAACGGCUUACCAAGGCGACGAUGCGUAGCCGACCUGAGAGGGUGAUCGGCCACACUGGAACUGAGACACGGUCCAAACUCCUACGGGAGGCAGCAGUAGGGAAUCUUCCGCAAUGGGCGAAAGCUUGACGGAGCAACGCCGCGUGAGUGAUGAAGGUCUUCGGAUCGUAAAACUCUGUUAUUAGGGAAGAACAAAUGUGUAAGUAACUAUGCACGUCUUGACGGUACCUAAUCAGAAAGCCACGGCUAACUACGUG
This 497-nucleotide ribosomal RNA is filed under the name uncultured bacterium. RNAcentral describes it as "partial 16S ribosomal RNA". It matches the Rfam family "Bacterial small subunit ribosomal RNA", at positions 28 to 507 of the family's 1533-position model. The record is from RNAcentral.